AUAAAUCAUGGAGUUGUGACUUAU
Molecule: non-coding RNA, 24 nt
Filed under: Arabidopsis thaliana (thale cress)
Lineage: Eukaryota; Viridiplantae; Streptophyta; Magnoliopsida; Brassicales; Brassicaceae
Source: RNAcentral